CCAAUAGCGUAUAUUAAAGUUGUUGCAGUUAAAAAGCUCGUAGUUGAAUUUCGGGAUUGGCACAUCGGUCGUGCCUUAAGGGGUGUGAACUGGUGUAGUCAAUUUCUCACCUUCUGGAGAACCACGAUGCCCUUAAUUGGGUGUCGCGGGGAACCAGGACCUUUACUUUGAAAAAAUUAGAGUGUUUAAAGCAGGCAUUUUGCUUGAAUACAUUAGCAUGGAAUAAUAAAAUAGGACGGCAUGAUUCUAUUUUGUUGGUUUCUAGGAUCACCGUAAUGAUUAAUAGGGAUAGUUGGGGGCAUUAGUAUUCAAUUGUCAGAGGUGAAAUUCUUGGAUUUAUUGAAGACUAACUACUGCGAAAGCAUUUGCCAAGGAUGUUUUCAUUAAUCAAGAACGAAAGUUAGGGGAUCGAAGACGAUCAGAUACCGUCGUAGUCUUAACCAUAAACUAUGCCGACUAGGAAUCAGACGAUGUUAAUUUUUUAAUGACUCGUUUGGCACCUUAC
RNAcentral lists this ribosomal RNA (505 nucleotides) under uncultured Glomeromycotina. Its description in RNAcentral is "partial small subunit ribosomal RNA". It matches the Rfam family "Eukaryotic small subunit ribosomal RNA", at positions 591 to 1091 of the family's 1831-position model. Lineage: Eukaryota; Fungi; Glomeromycota. The record is from RNAcentral.